Danio rerio (zebrafish) is the source of this 118-nucleotide ribosomal RNA. The record is from Ensembl. NCBI's taxonomy places the organism in Eukaryota, Metazoa, Chordata, Actinopteri, Cypriniformes, Danionidae.
CACCACAGCCAUAUCACCCUGCAGCCCAAGACUAGUUACUCACUCAACCUAAGCAGGGCAUAGACUGGUUAUUACCUGGAUGGGAGAUCACAUGGUAAAAACUAGGUUGCUGUUGUAA